Molecule: ribosomal RNA, 685 nt
Filed under: Vallentinia gabriellae
Lineage: Eukaryota; Metazoa; Cnidaria; Hydrozoa; Limnomedusae; Olindiidae
Description: partial large subunit ribosomal RNA
Rfam family: Bacterial large subunit ribosomal RNA
Source: RNAcentral
AAAUCAUGUAAGUAUGUGUUUGUAAACAGUCGACUAUUCGACUGUUUACCAAAAACAUAGCCCUUGGAAAAUCUCAAAGGUGCCACCUGCCCUAUGGUAUAUUAAUUUUUGUAAAUAAAAUAAAAACCUAUACUAAAUGGCCGCGGUAACUCUGACCGUGAUAAUGUAGCGAAAUCAAUUGUCAUUUAAUUGAUGACCAGUAUGAAUGGUGACACGAAUCUUUCACUGUUUCAAAUACAGAUCUGUUAAAUUUGGUAUAAUAGUGCAGAAACUAUUAUUUAAUUGUAAGACGAAAAGACCCUAUAGAGCUUAACUAAAUUCUAAAAAUAACAUAAUAAAUUAAAAUUUAGUUAUAAUUUAGAAAGUUAGUUUGGUUGGGGCGACCUUCUUCUACUAAAAACGAAGAACAACAAAGCUUAUAAUUUUAAAAUAUGUUUAAUUGUUUAACAAAUAAGUUUAACAAAUACAAACGUAGGUAAAAAUGACCCGUUAAAUUUAUCCAAUAAAAUUAACGAUCAAGAAAUAAAAGCUACCUUAGGGAUAACAGCGUAAUCUUGUUUAAGMKUUCUUAUCGACAACAAGGUUUGCGACCUCGAUGUUGAAUUGUGAUAUCCAGGGGGUGCAGAAGCUCUCAAAGGUUGGUCUGUUCGACCAUUAAAAUCUUACAUGAUUUGAGUUCAUUCCG